UUACAAGUAAGACAUGUUUCUUGCUUUACUUUUGUUUUACCAUAGGUACACAACCAAUGACAAAUUUGUAUCGUCACAUAGAAUAUUUGGUCAUGGCCACAACCUUUAUAGGCAAGAAUACUUCUUUCUUUUUGUUCUUUCAUUGGUUCAUAACAAACAUAUUAUAAUAUUCUAACGUAUAAAUGCACACGACUAUUGAUUGUUCAUGUCAAAUAAAAUUUAUUUAUUUCUCUCAAACCUCCCGUAGAGGUGAGUUUGACAUAUAUCCAACCAUACAUGAAUAUAUUUUUAUUAAUAUUUUUCCUUCAUAUUUUUCCAUAUGCACUUUCAAGAAAAGGCAAACAUUCACAUGCUUAUUACAAGUCGCAAUCUCUUCAUGAGUUGUUGAUAACUAUUUAUACAUGUUAGACCUUUGUAUUUGACAUAUUUACAUGAUCCACCUCAACAUCAUUUUGAAAAAUAAAGUGAACCGCCAUUUUAUAUUCUUUUAUUUUGAUGGAGGAUUUAUAAAACUUGUCAAAUUAUUGGAUUGACAACAUUCACAAAUCCAAUGAGCUUUCAUACCAUUUUGAUAAUAAAAAUUGCCUUCACAUUCUGAAAGACUAUUUUAAGAACCCAUAGUGUUUUUCCUUUUAUAAUUACCACAACGAUGACUAUUAUAAUUCCGUCAUUUCACAUCCUUUUUCAAAUCGUUAAUCAUUUGUCAUCUUUCAGACUAAUUAUUUACAGCUACCACAUCAUACGAUAGAAUGGAGCAAUUCAAUUGGCGGAUUUCAAAGUUAUCAUACAUUACUACCACAUUCUUUUCAAGGAAUGGAGCAUGAACUCAAUCAUGAUGCAUCAAAACUCAAAUUGAUGUCUUACCCUUUUAGUGCGAUAGAACAUAAAUCUACCGUCUUACCCUCACAUUUUUCAUUAUGGUACAUCCGGACUUUAACCUGAUGUCUUACCCUUUUGGUACAAUGAGAUUUGAAUCCACCGUCUUACCCUUAACCAACGGUAUAAUAAACCGAAGUACAACAUGACUCACCCUUUUAGUCUUUUAAAACAAUCAAAAUAAUAUUUAAACCAUGCUAUUAAAAUUUUAUACCUUCUUCCAUUUAAGAGAUUUUGUAUAGCACGUCAUAUUCAACCAAUGGUAGUAUAUGCUUUUCAUUCCUGAUAAUUAUUAGUGACUGAAUACUAUUGUACUCUAAAUCAUAAAAAUAUUUUAGAAAAUAUAUACCUGAUUUUAUGCAUAUAAUACCUAGGUUCUCAUAACGGAUCAACCAAAAUAUGAGUUAUAAAAAAACUAAAACUAAAACUCAAUCUCAAUUGGUUAGAAUCUCGUGUUGAUAACGUGUUAUAAAAUCUAAGCUCAGAAUAAUAUAAGUAUAAAGAAGAGGAUAAGAGAAGUAGAUUUAGGAGAAAAUUUUCUUUUUAUUCAAGUGUAUUGUUAAAUGGUGAGUGAUAUCUCUAUUUAUAGUGUUGAGAUAUCACUCCCAAAGGUCACCACAUUAAUAGAUACAUAGUUAUCUCUUAAGGUUCUUAUCAUCGUAGAAACACUUAUACAUGAAUCCAAUUAAUUGUUGGAUAACUCUAAUGGAUCUCCACAUAAAACAAUGGAUUUAUAACACUAAAUGAUUUAUAACCUAUUAUCGAAUUUUCAACUAUAUAUUUACUUAUUACCUCUUUAUACUAUUUUACAGAGAAAUUAUUUGCUUCAUAACCGUUCAUCUGUUAGAAUGUAUAAAAAUGUAACGAUCGAGUUUCGUCGUUACAGAAAUGUCCAUGGAUAAAAAUUAGGGUCGGAAAUUUUUUUCGUAGUGUUACGAUUUUUCCAAUCUUAUCUAGAUUUGGAGGAAAUUGGAAUCGUCAAGGUGUAGGAGAAUCUAAUAGAAAUCGGGGUGGAGUAAAUAGGAAUUUUAUUACAUAAUCGGUUAGAUAACUCGUUAGGAAAUCCGUAUGACAUUACAAAAUUGAAUUUGGAUAAUAGACCUCCGGGAUUCGCCCGUAGCGUUAAGGGUACUUUCUAGUGUAGUGGAUUAAGAGUAUGUUAUGAAAGAUGGAAACUGAAAAUCCCUUAAAGGCUAACUACCUCGCUUCGUGCUGCUGCAGCAGGAUUCUUAUCGCUGCAGCAACGUCACUACAGCGGGAUAGGUACCACUGUAGUAGAAGAGGCGAAAAUUGAUUAUAGAAUUUUUGAGAUUUUUCAUGACGGAGCUCACUGGUUCAAAAAUUGUCACUACAGUGGGAUUGGUGUCGCUACAGCGAUGCCGCUACAACGGGAUGUGUGUCGCUGUAGCGGGAUGGCGGAUUUUAAAAUCAUAAAUAAGACCGUUACACGACUUUAUUUUGUAUUUUUUGACUUUUUGGGUUAAGAGACGACCCAUGGGCUAUUCUAACUCGUUUUCCACCAUUCUUGAAGCUAGAGGUAAGCUUUUCACUCUCCAAAUUUAUUUUUGGGUCCGUAGAGCGUUUUAGAAUGGGUAAAUAUUGAUGGAGAACAAUUUCUUGAAGAAUCCUAUAGUGGAAUUAACCCCAAAAUUGAUUAGUUGGGGUCAUAGGUUUGAAUUGGGGUUCAUAGUUUGUUAGUAUUCCGGAAAUUUAGUGCUUCUUUAUUGACUUCCGUAUAUAAAUUGUUAUUUGUAGACCACGAACAAGCGGAACAAAUCCGAAAAGGGAAGGAUCAAGUUGUCUAGGGUUUCAAGCUUAUUUCGAGGACAUCUUCACGUGGCUAUUGACAAACUUUGCUUAGGUGAUCAGCGAUUGCUUUGAGUUCAAGGGUGAGCUCAUCGUUCGAGCUGCCAUAGAAUUCUCUUUAGUCUAUGUCCACUAUUUUCGGACGUAAACCUUAUUUUAGUCAGUUAGAUAGUUCACUAGAAAUUCUUGUAAGAUUUGGUUCUUGCUUCUAGUUUUGGUACAUUGACUUUCAGAUACUAGGUUUAUCUUCCGCAUUGUUAGUUAAUUAUUAGAUCUUUAAUUGAUGGAACUUAGCUUAAUUAUUUAACUUGCUUUCAUAACUUAAAUGCGUUAGUUUUUUGA
This is a non-coding RNA of Solanum lycopersicum (tomato), 3024 nucleotides long. The record is from RefSeq and is a predicted model, not a curated record. Lineage: Eukaryota; Viridiplantae; Streptophyta; Magnoliopsida; Solanales; Solanaceae.